AUGCUAUGCACGGGGGUGAUUACACAUAGCAUGAGCCCAUUUGCUGCCCCCGUUCUCCUGGUAAAGAAAAAAGAUGGAACGUGGCGAUUCUGUGUCGAUUACCGCCGCUUGAACACCGUCACCAUCAAGAACAAGUUCCCCCUUCCGGUCAUCGACGAACUGCUGGAUGAAUUAGCCGGCGCGACAGUCUUCUCCAAGAUUGAUUUGCGCGCUGGCUACCAUCAAAUUCGGAUGCGCGAAAGUGAUGAGGAGAAGACAGCAUUCAAGACCCAUCACAGACAUUUUCAAUUCCGUGUCAUGCCGUUCGGCGUCACCAAUGGACCACCAACAUUCCAGUGCCUGAUGAAUUCUAUCCUCUCCGGGCCAAACCGUAAGUUUGUCAUCACGUUUUUGGAUGACAUUUUGGUGUUCAGCCAUUGCUUGCAGGAGCACGUGGAGCAUUUGCGCACUAUCUUUGCUCUUCUUCGUCAGCAUCAAUUGUACGCCAAGCGCUCCAAGUGUUCUUUCGCCCAGCCCCGAAUUGAGUACCUGGGACAUGUGAUCUCCAAGGAGGGUGUCGCCACAGACGAGAGCAAAACAAGUGUGAUGCGAGCUUGGCCCACUCCUACCAAUCCAACAGAACUUCGCGGUUUCCUCGGCCUCACCGGUUAUUACCGCAAAUUCGUCUCUCGCUACGGAAUCAUUGCCAAGCCACUCACUCAGCUGCUCACCAAGAAGGGCUUCAAGUGGUCAGAGCAAGCCCAAGCCGUGUUCGAGCUCCUCAAGAAUGCCAUGGCUAAUACCCCUGUUCUGGCCCUGCCCGAUUUCGCUCGCCCAUUCUCAAUCGAGACGGAUGCGUGUGACACGGGCAUGGGAGCGGUGCUCGUCCAGGACGGCCACCCAAUUGCCUACCUCAGCAAAGCGCUCGGUGUCUGCAACCAACGACUGUCAAUUUACGAGAAGGAAUUCCUUGCAGUGAUGAUGGCAGUGGAAAAAUGGAGGCCCUAUUUGCAGCGUGCGCCGUUCGUCAUUGUCACCGAUCACAAGAGCUUGUGUCACCUUGGCGAUCAGCAGCUGGAAACGGAGUUGCAGCGCAAAGCCAUGUCCAAAAUGGUGGGGUUACAAUUUUCCUUCAAGUAUCGCGGUGGCCCAGAGAACGGCGCAGCAGACGCACUGUCGCGCGUCGGCCAUCUGCUCUCAGUCGAUUCUUUGUCUGUCUGUCAACCGCAGUGGCUUCAGGAAGUGAUGAAUUCUCAUGAAACGGACACAGACAGCCAAGAUCUACUCCAACGCCUGGCCCUUUGCAGUCCAGAUGAACAAGGGUACGAACUGCGGCAAGGCAUCAUUCGUUUGCACAACAAGAUCUGGAUUGGGGCCAACACCGCUAUACAGACCAAAUUGAUCAAUGCAUUCCACGCAAGUGCGAUUGGUGGUCACUCAGGAGUAACAGCUACGUAUCAGCAGGUCAAAAAGUUGUUUGCUUGGCGCGGUUUGAAACAAGCAGUGGAGGAUUUUGUCCGGCAAUGCUCGGUAUGUCAGCACGCAAAGCAUGAACACUUGAAGACGCCCGGUCUCCUUCAACCUCUCCCAGUACCCACGGAACCUUGGAGGGAUUUAACCAUGGAUUUCGUAGAAGGAUUGCCAGCUUCUGAGGGCUACGAGGUGAUCAUGGUCGUGGUCGAUCGCUUCACCAAGUACGCUCACUUUGUCCCACUACGUCACCCGUUUACAGCAGCAACAGUGGCUCGGGCAUUUUGGGAUAACAUCAUUAAGUUAUAUGGAGUGCCCCAUUCGAUUGUCUCCGAUCGUGACAAGAUUUUCACCAGUGCCAUGUGGCGUGCUUUGUUGGAGGCAGCGGGCACGAAACUCAGCUAUUCCACGGCUUACCAUCCUCAGACAGACGGACAGAGUGAACGGGUGAAUCAGUGCCUUGAAAUGUAUCUCCGGUGUGCAGUCCAUGAAACACCCAAGCAAUGGCGCAAGUGGCUUCCAACAGCUGAAUUUUGGUAUAACACCACUCAUCACUCCUCCUUGAAUACUUCUUCAUUCAAAGCUCUCUAUGGUCAAGAACCAAACCUCGGUGGCCUGCCCACCUUAUCUCUGAAUCUGCCAGACAACAAGGAUGCAGACUUGGACUGGGCAACACACAAUGACAGGCUACGUGCUCAACUUGCAUAG
RNAcentral lists this ribosomal RNA (2157 nucleotides) under Triticum aestivum (bread wheat). RNAcentral's name for it is "partial small subunit ribosomal RNA". The record is from RNAcentral. Lineage: Eukaryota; Viridiplantae; Streptophyta; Magnoliopsida; Poales; Poaceae.